GGAUAUUUGCAGGAUCACUAGUAAGUAACAUGUUCAAGUUGGCAAGAACAGGACCAUGAAACUCAAAAGUUCCCUUAGUUUCUAUAAGAGCAUCAGUUACAAAUUCAUGGACACGAUGAGCAUUUCGAAUAAGCCCAGGCAACAUUCCAACUAGUGGCCAAUUUGUUGGCACUGAGCUUGAUUUCCACCAUCUAUUACUAAGGUACCACCAUGUAGAAUAAGUAAAACACAUGAUGAUAACCAAAAGAGAAAGAACAUACAUUUCUUGGAAAUGGAGAGAAGGGACUUGUUUAAGUUGAGGAUUAGUUCUUUCAACUUCACAUUUUAUAAGACCAGAAAAGGGAAGGCAUGGGCUCAUAUUUGAGUUAGGCAUUUACAAGAUCACUACCUUUGCCUCCCACAUGAGUUGCUAAACUAAAGUGUCAAUGCCAGCAAGCUAAAUUAGAUAUGGUUCCAUUUUGUCAUAUUAUUACUUGUCUCACCAGAAGUCUGGUGAAAUGGAUUGAAUCACUUAUCAGUCCUACCUUAGUUAGGAAAAAACUUCUAUUAGGAAGUAAUAACAAGGCUAUCUUGGCCAUAUCCAAGAGGUUUACCAAAAAACAGAGAAACCUACAAAAUAAUAUUCUCUCAAAAAAGACACUCACAUUUUAAUACAUAGUAGGGCCCCAGAACGCUAAAAGGUGGGGGGAACAAGAGUUGUCACGAUAGAAAAGAGAAAAAAAGAAAUGACUAUAAGGAACCAACGGCUCUCUCUUCUUAAACAACCUAUAUCCUCCACACUUAAUCAGCAUUUGAUAGAUUAUCCAACCCCGAGCAAUCUAGUAUGCGGGGUCGGUCGUUAGCGGGUAUUGUUUAGUCAUUCAGAUAGUGACUGGCGUUUUUUAGCUAUGCAUUACACACCUCAUGUGGAUCUAGCUUUCAACAGCGUAGAACACAUUAUGGGAGAUGUUGAAGGGGGCUGGUUGCUCCGUUAUAUGCAUGCUAAUGGGGCAAGUAUGUUUUUCAUUGUGGUUCACCUGCAUAUUUUUCGCGGUCUAUAUCAUGCCAGUUAUAGCAGUCCUAGGGAAUUUGUUCGGUGUCUCGGAGUUGUAAAUCUUCCUAUUAAUUGAUUGUGACAGCUUUUAUAGGAUAUGUCCUACCUUGGGGUCAGAUGAGCUUUUGGGGAGCUACAGUAAUCACAAGCUUAGCUAGCGCCAUACCUGUAGUAGGAGAUACCAUAGUGACUUGGCUUUGGGGUGGGUUCUCCGUGGACAAUGAUACAAAUGGGAACUACAUGGGUGCACGAAAAAACUAUAAUGGAUCGAAGACCACUCCUCAAUUGAAGGAAGCUUAUCUCCGCCCAUUCAAAAGCUCUCCUUUAGGUAUUCUGUUUAUUUUUAAUAGUAAACAAACUUCAAAGCAGAUAAAGAAAAAGGGCAUCUCCAUUCAGAUUUUCUAAAUAGUUAGUAAAACAUUGAACAUCACAUAGGCCAUAACCAUGCAAGCAAUGUCAUCCAACAUUUCGAUAUAUAAUACGAAGAGUUUACAUUAAUUGAAAGAAAAACUCAAGACUAUGAUGAUGCGUUUAUAACAUAAUAAAAACUAAUUCAUGAGGACGAUUUUAUUGAUGCACUUGAAUGCAUUUUACUAAGAUGCUUAAUCAUGUUAUAGUAAUUAUAUCGACACUGCUUGCAUAAGAUCCUACAUACGUCAAUAUUGUUCAUGCAUUGGACAUAAGAGGAACCCUUUUGACAAGCCUAACUUUCAGACCAUGUUUCAUUUGAAUGAUAACAGAAGAAUUUGGAAGAAUUAUUUGAUCUUCCCCUAAUUGGAUAUGAUAAUUGUAUAUGAUGGUAGCUGCCACUAUUUUCAUCUGAAUGAAUGCCAUUUCCUUACCUAUACAAGUCCUUGGACCUGCAUUAAAGGCCGGGAAUUUGUAAGAUGGCUCAUGUUUGAUCCCUCCACGUUCAGAAAUCCAUCUCUCUGGCUUGAAUUCUAAGCAAUCUUUUCCCCAUAUGCUUUCCAUUCUCCCCAUCGUAUAGAACGAUAGCACAACUCUCGUGUUUGGACUAACAUGGUGACCGCUCGGAAGAAUGUCAAAUUCAAGUGGAAGUUUAUGCUCAAUUGCAACUGAUGGAAAAAACCUCAAGGUUUCACACAAAGCACCAUGUAGAUAGACUAGUCUUUUUGUUUCUUCUAUGUUGAAACACUUGAGAUUUUCAUCUUCUUUGAGAUGCAAUUGUUGUUGAAUCUCUUCUCUAAUCCUUUUCUCUACCAAGGGAUUUUUAGCUAAGAGCCAGAAAAACCAAGUGAGAGCUGCACUUGUGGUGUCUCUACCAGCAAGCAUCAAAUUCAAGAAAGUGUCCCUUAGAAAUGUUUGCAAUGUACCCAAAUCACCAUCUUUCCAUUGAUUGUACAUUUUGAUGUACUCGUUUAAAAAUGUGAAUUCCUCGUCUUUGAUUGUACUUUUCUGCAUCAACUCUUCUUGUUUCCGCGAAAUGCAAGGAUAUAAGAACUGAUCAAAAGCUUCCCAUGCUUGAAUUAACUGCUUUUCCUUACCAAUUCGAAGCCAUUUUUGCAAUUUCCAGCAGCCUUCUGGCAAGAUGUGUCUGUACAUAAGUGCAUCCACAACGUCGUUGAACGCCUUUUCACAUGGAACAUGAGGUAAAUCAAUAGACAAACUUUUGGGAUCAUAGUCAAGUAACAGUUUGCUGAUAGCAUCAAAAGUGAAUCUCUGGAAAAUAUCUUGCAAAUCAAACAGGGUGUCCUGUUCAGCAAAAGUAUCAAGAAUAGGUCGUAGCCCAUUUUCGAUAAUGUCCCAAAGGUUCCUCUCCAGAAAAGUUUGGAACUUGGCAUGACUCAUUAAGGACAUGGUGGUCUUCCUAUGAAUCUCCCAUAGCUCAUAAUCAACAUUGAAGAUCCCAUUUCCCAAAAUAUCGAAAAAUUUACGGAACUCAACACCCUUUGGAUAGUUUGAGAAAUUUUUACUAAGGAUAUGGUGGAUAUUUGCAGGAUCACUAGUAGCUAACAUGUUCAAGUUGGCAAGAACAGGACCAUGAAACUCAAAAGUUCCCUUAGUUUCUACAAGAACAUCAGUUGCAAAUUCAUGGACACGAUGCACAUUUCGAAUAAGCCCAGGCAACAUUCCAACAAGAGGCCAAUUUGUUGGCACUGAGCUUGAUUUCCACCAUCUAUUACUAAGGUACCACCAUGUAGAAUAAGUAAAACACAUGAUGAUAACCAAAAGAGAAAGAAAAUAUUCAAGGACAUACAUUUCUUGGAAAUGAGCAGAAGGGACUUGUUUAAGUUGAGGAUUAGUUCUUUCAACUUCACACUUUAUAAAGAUAAUUGAGUAAAGAAGACCAGAAAAGGGAAGGCAUUUGAGUUAGGCAUUUACAAAAGAUCACUAUCUUGGCCUCCCACACUUAGUUGGGCGGACUCUUCACGCCGCACCCGUGUCGGAACUUUUGACAAAUCCGACACGCACAUGUCGACAUUUUUGAAUAGUCCGAGCAAUAUAGCUCCCACAUGAGUUGCUAAGCACAAUUGCCAAUGUCAGCAAGUUAAGAUUGAUAAGGAUGUGAGAAUCUGACAGGGUCCAUACUUAGAUGAUAAGUUAGAUAUGGUACCAUUUUGUUAUAUUAUUAUUAGUGGUCUCAGCAACAGUCUGGUGGAAUUCAUUGAAUCUGUCCUACCUUAGAGACUUCUAGUCAAUACCUAGAAACGAAAAAACUUCUACUAGGAAGCAUUGACUCUCUAGACGAGAUUGUUUUACGGUUCUAGAAGACCCUGAACAAGAAUAGGCAAAGAUGUCAUAUUUUUGAACCGGAAGAGAUUGUUCAGGAUGAGUAUUUGGGUAACAACGCCGAGGAGUGUAACCAAUAAACCUUCAAUUUUUCUUCAUAGAUAUUUCCAUCAUCUCAAAGUUAAUAUUUAAUAGUUGUUCUGUUGUCCAUGGAUUGAAAGCUAAUUGAAACCACAAGACAAAUUAUUCUUUGCUAGAAUGGAAUACCAAAAGCUUCAACUGUUUGUAAAUUAAUAUGAAUGAACCAUCUGCAGAAAUAUUUUACCAAUAAGUAUAUUGUGAGUUGCUAUGUUGUCACUAAAGGCUUUCCACCCCUUCAUGAUAUUUCUCCACACCACAUCCCCCUUCAAAAACUCCAUAUUUGUCCGAUAUCGCCCCUCUCCAUAAUGGUUCUCCCUCCACUCCAAAUCUCCAUAACCAUUUACCCAAAAAUGCUUUGUUAAAGACCUUCAUGUCUUUAACCCAAAUCCUCCCCCACCAUUUAGGAGAUGUCACGGUCUCUCAUCGAACUAAGUGAAAGUUCUUUGCCCCAUCUGUUGCGUCCCAAAGAAAAUUUCUUUGCAGCCUUUCCAACUUUCCUACAACAGAGGUUGGAUCAUUCAACAAGGACAUGCAACAAGUAGGGAUACUCGAUAAAGUGCUCUUAUGAGCACUUCUUUCCUUCCUUCGGACAAUUAUCUUUUCUUCAACCUGCUAACCUCCCGGAGCACGUUUUUAUGUAUGAUUAAGUUGACACAUUAGAACUAUUUUACUCUAGACAAUGUUAGUUGCUAAUAGAAUUUGUUUAACCAGUCCAAUAUUUUAUGACACCUUUGCCUCUGGCACAGAUUUAUUAUCACACCUAUAGGAGUGAGUAAUUUGGUUAGAUUUACAAUCACCAGAAUACCAGUAAGAGCUCAUCACUGCAACUAUACAUAACCUAAUCUAUAAAAUGAUGCAUUUGAACAACCCUGUAUAGGCUGAUCCAGGUAUUACAAUCAAUUAUGGUGGCGUUGGAAUGAGACAAGUGCGUGAAAUGCUAAAGAAACAGAGAAACAAAAACCGAAGAGAACCCUGUAUACGUCAAUAUUGUUCCACCAAUAUUUUAGCAUUGUUCACGCAUUUGGAUUUGAUUGGACAUAAGAGGAACCCUUUUCACGAGUCUAACUUUCAGACCAUGUUUCAUUUGAAUGAUAAUAGAAGCACUUGGAGAAAUUAUUUGAUCUUCCCCUAAUUGGAUAUGAUAAUUGUAUAUGAUGGUAGCUGCCACUAUUUUCAUCUGAAUGAACGCCAUUUCCUUCCCUAUACAAGUCCUUGGACCUGCAUUAAAGGCUGAGAAUUUGAAAGACGGCUCGUGUUUGAUCCCUCCUCGUUUAGAAAUCCAUCUCUCUGGCUUGAAUUCUAAGCAAUCUUCCCCCCAUAUACUUUCCAUUCUCCCCAUUGUAUAGAGAGAUAGCACAAUUCUCAUGUUUGGACUAACAUGGUGACCGCUCGGAAGAAUGUCAAAGUCAUGUGGAAGUUUGUGCUCAAUUGCAACUGAUGGAAAGAACCUCAGGGUUUCACACAAAGCACCAUGUAGAUAGACUAGUUUUCUUGUUUCUUGUAUGCUGAAAAAGUUGAGAUUUUCAUCUUCUUUUAGAUUCAAUUGUUGUUGAAUCUCUUCUCUAAUCCUUUUCUCUGCUAAGGGAUUUUUAGCUAAGAGCCAAAAAAACCAAGUGAGAGCUGCACUUGUGGUGUCUCUACCAGCAAGCAUCAAACUCAAGAAAGUGUCUCUUAGAAAUGUUUGCAAAGUACCCAAAUCACCAUCUUUCCAUUGAUUAUACAUUUUGAUGUACUCGUUUAAAAAUGUGAAUUCCUCGUCUUUGAUUGUACUUUGAUGCAGCAAUUCUUCUUGCUUACGCGAAAUGCAAGGAUAUAAGAACUGAUCAAAAGCUUCCCAUGCUUGAAUGAGCUUCUUUUCUCUACCAAUUCGAAGCCAUUUUUGCAAUUUCCAGCAACUUUCUGGCAAGAGAUGUCUGUAAAGAAGUGCAUCCACAGUGUCGUUGAACGCCUUUUCACAUGGCACAUGAGGUAAGCCAAUAGACAAACUUUUCGGAUCAUGAUCAAGUAACAAUUUGCUGAUAGCAUCAAAAGUGAAUCUCUGGAAAAUAUCUUGCAUAUCAAACAGAAUGUCCUGUUCAGCAAAAGCAUCAAGAAUUGGUCGGAGCCUGUUUUCAAUAAUGUUCCACAUGUUCCUCUCCAACAAAGUUUGGAACUUGGCAUGAUUCAUUAAGGACAUGGUGGUCUUCCUAUGCAUCUCCCAUAGCUCAUAAUCAACAUUGAACAUCCCAUUUCCUAAUAUAUCAAAAAUUUUACGGAACUCAACACCCUUUGGAUAGUUUGAGAAAUUUUUACUAAGGAUAUAGUGGAUAUUUGCAGGAUCACUAGUAAUUAACAUGUUCAAGUUUGCAAGAACAGGGCCAUGAAACUUAAAAGUUCCCUUAGUUUCUACAAGAAUAUCAGUUGCAAAUUCAUGGACACGAUGAGCAUUUUGAAUAAGCCCAGGCAACAUUCCAACUAGUGGCCAAUUUGUUGGCACUGAGCUUGAUUUCCACCAUCUAUUACUAAGGUACCACCAUGUAGAAUAAGUAAAACACAUGAUGAUAAUCAAGAGAGGAAGAAAAUAUUCAAGAACAUCCAUUUCUUUCUCAAACAAAGAAAAGAAUUUGAGAUGGAGAGAGGAAACUUAUUUAAGUUCAGGAUUAGUUCU
This 6512-nucleotide long non-coding RNA is filed under the name Solanum tuberosum (potato). Its description in RNAcentral is "long non-coding RNA (STUB_LNC010300)". The record is from RNAcentral. Lineage: Eukaryota; Viridiplantae; Streptophyta; Magnoliopsida; Solanales; Solanaceae.